Molecule: ribosomal RNA, 253 nt
Filed under: uncultured bacterium
Lineage: Bacteria
Description: partial 16S ribosomal RNA
Rfam family: Bacterial small subunit ribosomal RNA
Source: RNAcentral
UACGUAGGGGGCAAGCGUUGUCCGGAAUCAUUGGGCGUAAAGAGCGUGUAGGCGGCUCGAUAAGUCUGCUGUGAAAGUCCAGGGCUCAACCCUGGAAGGCCGGUGGAAACUGUCGGGCUAGAGUCCGGAAGAGGCGAGUGGAAUUCCCGGUGUAGCGGCGAAAUGCGCAGAUAUCAGGAAGAACACCCGUGGCGAAGGCGGCUCUCUGGGACGGUACUGACGCUGAGACGCGAAAGCGUGGGGAGCGAACAGG